RNAcentral lists this ribosomal RNA (781 nucleotides) under Chryseobacterium sp. RNAcentral's name for it is "bacterial SSU rRNA". It matches the Rfam family "Bacterial small subunit ribosomal RNA", at positions 43 to 824 of the family's 1533-position model. Lineage: Bacteria; Pseudomonadati; Bacteroidota; Flavobacteriia; Flavobacteriales; Weeksellaceae. The record is from RNAcentral.
GAGGCCUAACACAUGCAAGCCGAGCGGUAGAGAUUCUUCGGAAUCUUGAGAGCGGCGCACGGGUGCGGAACACGUGUGCAACCUGCCUUUAUCUGGGGGAUAGCCUUUCGAAAGGAAGAUUAAUACCCCAUAAUAUAUUGACUGGCAUCAGUUGAUAUUGAAAACUCCGGUGGAUAGAGAUGGGCACGCGCAGGAUUAGAUAGUUGGUGAGGUAACGGCUCACCAAGUCAACGAUCCUUAGGGGGCCUGAGAGGGUGAUCCCCCACACUGGUACUGAGACACGGACCAGACUCCUACGGGAGGCAGCAGUGAGGAAUAUUGGACAAUGGGUGAGAGCCUGAUCCAGCCAUCCCGCGUGAAGGACGACGGCCCUAUGGGUUGUAAACUUCUUUUGUAUAGGGAUAAACCUACCCUCGUGAGGGUAGCUGAAGGUACUAUACGAAUAAGCACCGGCUAACUCCGUGCCAGCAGCCGCGGUAAUACGGAGGGUGCAAGCGUUAUCCGGAUUUAUUGGGUUUAAAGGGUCCGUAGGCGGAUCUGUAAGUCAGUGGUGAAAUCUCACAGCUUAACUGUGAAACUGCCAUUGAUACUGCAGGUCUUGAGUGUUGUUGAAGUAGCUGGAAUAAGUAGUGUAGCGGUGAAAUGCAUAGAUAUUACUUAGAACACCAAUUGCGAAGGCAGGUUACUAAGCAACAACUGACGCUGAUGGACGAAAGCGUGGGGAGCGAACAGGAUUAGAUACCCUGGUAGUCCACGCCGUAAACGAUGCUAACUCGUUUUU